Molecule: long non-coding RNA, 3408 nt
Filed under: Falco tinnunculus (common kestrel)
Lineage: Eukaryota; Metazoa; Chordata; Aves; Falconiformes; Falconidae
Description: lncRNA (ENSFTIG00000014731.1)
Source: RNAcentral
CCCAGAGCUGCUACAAGCAGGUGAAAGAGAAAGAGCAGAGUCUGCAGUUUUAGGCUGUUUCCCGAGUGCCUUUUGCAGAAUUGAGUAUUUUGAUUAAGAAAUAAGCUUUAAUCCCCUAGCUGGCUGCCAGCCGAGCUCCAUGCAGCUGCUCUGGCCAAGCAGGGCAGUCUCCUGCUGGAGCAGAAGCUUUUGCUGAAGAACGAGGUAUUUUCUCGUUAAAGCAGUUACAGCUGGGACCCCAUCCUGCCUCAUUGCAAGCUGCUGCCAAUGAACUGAGGUUCAAGUCCCUGCUCAAGAUACCUGCCAUUUUGAAGAGCAAUAUUUCUUAGGCAUGCCAAGAUCCUCCAAGGCUGACAUCAGUUCUGCAGAGCAAGUGCUUCAGACAUGGAUACAGAAUCACAGAAUGGUUGGGGUUGGAAGGGACUUCUGGAGAUCAUCCAGUCCAACCCCCUGCUAAAGCAGGUUCUCCUAGAGCAGGUUGCAUAGUCAUGUCCAGGUCGGUUUUGAAUUUCACCGGUGAAGGAGACUCCAGAGCCUCUCUGGGCAGCCUGUUCCAGUGCUCUGUCACCCUCAAAGCAAAGAAGUUCUUCCUCAUAUUCAGGUAGAACUUCCCGUGUUGCAGUUUGUGCCCAUUGCCCCUUGUCCUGUCACUGGGCACCACUGAAAAGAGCCUGGCCCCAUCCUCCUGACACUUGCCCAAAGAUACUUGUAGACAUUGACAAGGACCCCUCUCAGUCUUCUCUUCUCCAGGCUACACAGGCCCAGCUCUCUCAGCCUGUCCUCAUCAGGGAGAUGCUCCAGUCCCCUCAUCACCUUUGUAGCCCUCCGCUGGGCCCUCUCCAGUGGUACCCUGUCUCUCUUGAACUGGGGAGCCCAGCACUGGACACAGCACUCCAGAUGUGCCCUCACCAGGGCAGACCAGAGGAGCAGGAGAACCUCCCUCCACCUGCUGGCCACGCUCCUCCUGAUGCACCCCAGGGUCCCACUGGCCUUCCUGGCCACCAGGGCACACUGCUGGCUCAUGGGCAACUUAGAUGCCUUGCUGGUGACUCCUGCAAGGUGUUGUAAAGAGGAUGGAUGCCCAAGAACUCAACAGUGCAAGGACUGCGCGUACCAGGAGCUGAAACAUCGGUGCUGUGGCUUGAUGGAUUCGAGAUGGCUGAAGUCUGAUAAUAUGGACCCAACAUUCAGCACUGGCUCCUAUGAACCUAGCCUUAGAUUACUGACACGAACUUUGCUGCAGAAACACGGUUGAAUUCAGUGGGAAUCCGGGGCCAAAUACUGCUGAGGACGUGAGUUUACUUUUCUCAUGCCAGCUGCCCUAGCAUAAUGGCUUCUUUGGAAAACGUAAUCUUUGCCAUGAAGCUCACGUAUACUUAAAGACACCAUAGGAUAAAUAUAAUGAACCACAAUAUCAUUUUGAGCCUAAAAUCAUUAUUGAAGUCCCAUAACAGAACAGUUCAGUGUGCUGCAGGUUGCAAUAAGGAAAGCAAGGGCUUAAAUGUACCAUGUUUCUUGUGCCAAUGGACAAAAUGAGCACACAAAGGAAAAGUGAUUCUUUAGUGUAUGCAAAUUUAUUCAACUCUGCAAUUGUUUAUUUACAAUUAAUGACUGAUACCAACAGAUGAGGUAAAAAUAUGAGGUAUUGAUAUGAGUAUAACAUUUAAAAAUGCAAUUAUCAUAAUGUAUUCUCAAUGGCAAUGUAACAAUAAAAAUACUGUGGUAGCUGAAUGGUAGACAUGGCAUAAUGUGCAUUUUAAAGAAAUUUUAUUUCAUUGAUACACAGCUUAAAGAUGCCAUAAGCACAUGACUGAGCUUCUGCAAGGGUAGGACAACCCUACCUUGCUAACAGGUGGCACAGGACCCCUUCCAGCUAAGUGAUGACUUGUCAGACAGGAUAAAACCACUGUCCAGGUUUUCCCUUCAUUUUAGUAAGAAUUUUUUACUGUUAGACAAUUGCCAUUCCGAGGGCCAGAAAUUCUGUGCCCGUUAAUACUGAGGCACUAUUGUAUUUCUUUAUGCAAACUAAUGUAGCAGAAGUGCUCUAAUUGGUGGUGUUUUGGAAAACAGCUGGCACAAAACCUGCUGCCUUGGCUACAGGUGUUUGGGGACAAGGUGCCGCUUUCUGGGGCGGCAAUCCUGCUGGAACCAGGGGCUGGCCUUGCCCUGCCAGCUUACAAGCCACGGCUUGCUCCCGGGAAGGCUGGACCUAGGCACCGUGGGUGCCCUGCGGCUGGCUGCUGACUGCCAGACCUCAGCACGGUCAUGCAAGGGUGUGAGCCUUCCCCUGUCUUUUACACUUGAAAUCUGGCAGUCCUUGCAUAUUGCCUUGCUGGCCCUACGCUCAAGGCAGGAGAGGCCCAUGGGCAGCCAGCCUCCCUCAUCCUAUGAGUUACACAAUAAGACACGGGUGAGAGCUCACGGGGGAAGACAAGAGUGACUUUGUAAGGGUCCUGCUGUUCCAAGGGGACGCUGUGCUGGCUCACCCUGCCUCUCUCCGCUGGCUUGCUUCCUCGGAUUGCAGGACUGUCCCCCACCAGUGCAGCCCUCACAUGUGUGCACGAUGGCACCGUGCUCUAGCAGCUAUCAAGGACCACACGUGGUCCACCCCACAGCCCCUGUACCUGGGGCAGGCUCAAUGCACUGGUUUUGAAGAGACUUCCCCGUUUAGUGAAUCAGGGCACAAAGCCAUAGCUUCGAGUAGGAAAUGUAUCCUGCUUAAUUGAUCUCAUACUAAUCUUAAUGGAUUUUGUUGGAAGGACUGAGCUAAAACACUGGCUAUGAAUGACACAGCUAAUUUAUGCAGCAAUAAAUAAAGUCAAAGUGAACAAAUGCGAUUAAUGAAGAACAGUAUUAACAGGCUUGUACAUUCUUAUUGAGUCAUAGAUGUAAUAUCAUUUUUGGUCUUAGGUUAGUUAAAAACAAAACAGAACUCUGCCUCAAAGGUAACGUUGACAAAUUAUUAUUAUUAUUACUUUUAAAGCAUUCUUCCAUUAGCAAAAUAAUAGGUCCCUGAAAAUGAAAUUAUUUAAUAGGCUUAAAUGGCUCCUACUCCUCAUAGUCAGGGGCUAAUUCUGCUCCCACCAAUGCCUACAGAGGCAGGGACAUGCAGAUCAGUGCAAUAUAAUAUGAAAAUGCUUGCUGUUACAAUAAAAGCAAUUUUUCCAAGCAUAGUCUGCAUUUAGUCUUUUAAAUCUCAGAGAUGUGUUUAAAAGCUUAAAAAAGUUCAGUUAUUUGUACAGUAAGAAUAUUACAAGGCAUGGUAUUCAUCUGCAUGUUUUUGUGUCCAUGGGAUAUGGAAAAUCUGCUUUGGAGAUUUUUAACAGCCAUCUCUAUGGGAGAAGGAAAGAACACAGAAACACUCAGAACAUAGACAAAAUCCUAAAAAAAAAAAAAAAAAAAAAUUAG